GACGAACGCUGGCGGCGUGCUUAACACAUGCAAGUCGAACGGAAAGGCCCUGCUUUUGUGGGGUGCUCGAGUGGCGAACGGGUGAGUAACACGUGAGUAACCUGCCCUUGACUUUGGGAUAACUUCAGGAAACUGGGGCUAAUACCGGAUAGGAGCUCCUGCUGCAUGGUGGGGGUUGGAAAGUUUCGGCGGUUGGGGAUGGACUCGCGGCUUAUCAGCUUGUUGGUGGGGUAGUGGCUUACCAAGGCUUUGACGGGUAGCCGGCCUGAGAGGGUGACCGGCCACAUUGGGACUGAGAUACGGCCCAGACUAGUACGGGAGGCAGCAGUGGGGAAUAUUGCACAAUGGGCGGAAGCCUGAUGCAGCAACGCCGCGUGCGGGAUGACGGCCUUCGGGUUGUAAACCGCUUUCGCCUGUGACGAAGCGUGAGUGACGGUAAUGGGUAAAGAAGCACCGGCUAACUACGUG
Molecule: ribosomal RNA, 468 nt
Filed under: uncultured bacterium
Lineage: Bacteria
Description: partial 16S ribosomal RNA
Rfam family: Bacterial small subunit ribosomal RNA
Source: RNAcentral